GUUGACCUCGGAUCAGGUAGGGAUACCCGCUGAACUUAAGCAUAUCAAUAAGCGGAGGAAAAGAAACCAACAGGGAUUGCCCUAGUAACGGCGAGUGAAGCGGCAACAGCUCAAAUUUGAAAGCUGGCCUUCGGGUCCGCAUUGUAAUUUGUAGAGGAUGCUUUGGGUGAAACGCCAGUCUAAGUUCCUUGGAACAGGACGUCAUAGAGGGUGAGAAUCCCGUAUGUGACUGGAAAUGUUAACCUAUGUAAAGCUCCUUCGACGAGUCGAGUUGUUUGGGAAUGCAGCUCUAAAUGGGAGGUAAAUUUCUUCUAAAGCUAAAUAUUGGCGAGAGACCGAUAGCGCACAAGUAGAGUGAUCGAAAGAUGAAAAGCACUUUGGAAAGAGAGUUAAAAAGCACGUGAAAUUGUUGAAAGGGAAGCGCUUGCAAUCAGACUUGUUUAAACUGUUCGGCCGGUCUUCUGACCGGUUUACUCAGUUUGGACAGGCCAGCAUCAGUUUCGGCGGCCGGAUAAAGGCUCUGGGAAUGUGGCCUUCACUUCGGUGAAGGUGUUAUAGCCCAGGGUGUAAUACGGCCAGCCGGGACUGAGGUCCGCGCU
Molecule: ribosomal RNA, 599 nt
Filed under: Aureobasidium pullulans
Lineage: Eukaryota; Fungi; Ascomycota; Dothideomycetes; Dothideales; Saccotheciaceae
Description: partial large subunit ribosomal RNA
Rfam family: Eukaryotic large subunit ribosomal RNA
Source: RNAcentral